AUGGUGGAGGGCUCUGAGAGUGAUAUCUCGAACCUCAAGUUCCUCUUAUUGUGCUUCCAGCAGAUGUCCGGCCUUAGGAUCAACUUCGACAAGAGUGAGGUUAUGGUCUUGGGCUACGCCCAAGACGAGCGACAGAGCAUAGCGGAUCGGCUUAACUGCCAGCUUGGGUGUUUCCCCACGACUUAUCUGGGGUUACCCAUUAGUGAUGCCAGGCUUACGGUAGCCGAGCUGCGCCCCACGGUGGGGAAGCUCCAACACCGGAUCGAGCCCUGGUAGGGUCGGUGGCUCUCGAAAACGGCCCGUACGGUGCUCAUUAACUCGUCCCUCUCCAGCCUCCUAUUAUUCAUCAUGAGCUUCUACAGCCUUCCGGAGACUCUUCAUCACGAGAUUGCCACCGUUCAGGGGUGCUUCUUCUGGGCCGGCGAGGGUGAUAAGCAGAAAUACCACAUGGUCCGGUGGUCUGAGAUCUGCAAACCUCGCGACAAGGGCGGCCUUGGGAUCAUGUCCUCCAAACGCAUGAAUAUUGCCCUUAUGACUCGGUGGCUCUGGAGGAUUGGCAGUGGAGAUGGUGGCUGUGGCUACGCAUUAUUCAGCAGAAAUACCUCCGAGGCCAGCCUCUUGCCUUCUGUCAGCGAUCUGGGGGCUCCCAGUUCUGGCAAUCCAUCAUUCAGCUCCUCCCUGUCCUCCGGAUCGGGACCUCGAUCGAGAUUGGUUCCGGCACCGCCACGCUGUUCUGGUUCGAUCGCUGGACUGGUCACACGCCCUUGGCGGCCCGCUUUCCAGACCUGUUCUCCAUCGCGGUUGCCCCUCAGAUCUCCGUGGCGACCACCCUUAUUGACUUAG
This 843-nucleotide ribosomal RNA is filed under the name Triticum aestivum (bread wheat). RNAcentral describes it as "partial small subunit ribosomal RNA". Lineage: Eukaryota; Viridiplantae; Streptophyta; Magnoliopsida; Poales; Poaceae. The record is from RNAcentral.